UACGAAGGGGGCUAGCGUUGUUCGGAAUUACUGGGCGUAAAGCGUGCGCAGGCGGUUAUGCAAGACAGAGGUGAAAUCCCCGGGCUCAACCUGGGAACUGCCUUUGUGACUGCAUGGCUAGAGUACGGUAGAGGGGGAUGGAAUUCCGCGUGUAGCAGUGAAAUGCGUAGAUAUGCGGAGGAACACCGAUGGCGAAGGCAAUCCCCUGGACCUGUACUGACGCUCAUGCACGAAAGCGUGGGGAGCAGACAGG
Molecule: ribosomal RNA, 253 nt
Filed under: uncultured bacterium
Lineage: Bacteria
Description: partial 16S ribosomal RNA
Rfam family: Bacterial small subunit ribosomal RNA
Source: RNAcentral